UACAGAGGUGGCAAGCGUUGUUCGGAUUUAUUGGGUGUAAAGGGCAGGUAGGCGGCCGGGUAAGUCUGUUGUGAAAUCCCAGAGCUCAACUCUGGAACUGCAAUGGAUACUGCUUGGCUUGAGCGUCAGAGAGGUGAGGGGAAUUCCAGGUGUAAGAGUGAAAUCUGUAGAUAUCUGGAGGAAUACCGGUGGCGAAGGCGCCUCACUGGCUGAUUGCUGACGCUGAACUGCGAGAGCUAGGGGAGCAAACAGG
RNAcentral lists this unclassified non-coding RNA (253 nucleotides) under uncultured bacterium. RNAcentral describes it as "contains 16S-23S intergenic spacer region". It matches the Rfam family "Bacterial small subunit ribosomal RNA", at positions 524 to 776 of the family's 1533-position model. The record is from RNAcentral.